RNAcentral lists this ribosomal RNA (254 nucleotides) under uncultured bacterium. Its description in RNAcentral is "partial 16S ribosomal RNA". It matches the Rfam family "Bacterial small subunit ribosomal RNA", at positions 524 to 776 of the family's 1533-position model. The record is from RNAcentral.
UACGAAGGGGGCUAGCGUUGCUCGGAAUUACUGGGCGUAAAGCGCACGUAGGCGGUCUUUUAAGUCGGGGGGUGAAAUCCUGGAGCUCAACUCCAGAACUGCCUUCGAUACUGGAAGACUUGAGUCCGGGAGAGGUGAGUGGAACUGCGAGUGUAGAGGUGAAAUUCGUAGAUAUUCGGAGGAACACCAGUGGCGAAGGCGGCUCACUGGCUCGGUACUGACGCUGAGGUGCGAAAGCGUGGGGAGCAAACAGG